RNAcentral lists this long non-coding RNA (278 nucleotides) under Orbicella faveolata. RNAcentral's name for it is "uncharacterized LOC110069554". The record is from RNAcentral. Lineage: Eukaryota; Metazoa; Cnidaria; Anthozoa; Scleractinia; Merulinidae.
UAGCUUGAACAAGUAUCUUAUUACUUUUUCCAGACGGUGCAGGGUCUUUUCAACUCAACAAGUUUCUGUCGGUACAUGGUGGAAAAUCACGUCAAGACCGUUGAAUGUAACGAAACACACCUGUUACGGCCAUUCAGCUUUAACGGAGCUGGUGUGACAACCAAUGUCACUUUGAAUUUGACGUUGGAGUCGACUCAGAGGCUUCGUUUCCCUGACUACGAAUCUAGAGAGACACGAAAGUCCAACUUGUUGUACGAGCACAUUGCUCCAGAAAACAG